Molecule: long non-coding RNA, 397 nt
Organism: Gymnodraco acuticeps
Lineage: Eukaryota; Metazoa; Chordata; Actinopteri; Perciformes; Bathydraconidae
Exons: 2
Source: RefSeq, a predicted model, not a curated record
GGCUUCUCCGCCAUUUAAGGAGGAUUGACGUGUCUUUGGGUACACUUAUGAGAAAGGUUUCUCCGCCGUUAAGGAGGUUGAUAAAACGUUGAUUGAGAAAGGUUUCUCCGCCGUUAAGGAGGUUGAUAAAACGUUGAUAGAGAAAGGCUACUCCGCCGUUAAGGAGGUUGAUAAAACGUUGAUAGAGAAAGGCUACUCCGCCUAGGAGGAGGAUCGACGUGCCUUUGGGUACACUUAUGAAUGAUUGAGUGAAAGCAGUGUGUAAAAGUGUCACCAAGUGGAAUCAGCGCACAGAGUGGAAACCUAACGGUGAUAACAAAAACUCUGUGGUCUGUUGAAGUACACUAGUGGUGAAUUAGGAAUUAGGUUCUGACCGGCACGUUGUCCAGUAGGAACA